AUUGAACGCUGGCGGCAUGCUUUACACAUGCAAGUCGAACGGUAACAGGCCGCAAGGUGCUGACGAGUGGCGGACGGGGGCGUAAUGCAACGGAACGUGCCCAGUCGUGGGGGAUAACUACUCGAAAGAGUAGCUAAUACCGCAUACGAUCUAUGGAUGAAAGCGGGGGACCGCAAGGCUUCGAGCGAUUGGUGCGGCCGAUGACAGAUUAGGUAGUUGGUGGGGUAAAGGCUCACCAAGUCAACGAUCUGUAGCGGGUCUGAGAGGACAACCAGCCACACUGGGACUGAGACACGGCCCAGACUCCUACGGGAGGCAGCAGUGGGGAAUUUUGGACAAUGGGCGCAAGCCUGAUCCAGCAAUGCCGCGUGCAGGAAGAAGGCCUUCGGGUUGUAAACUGCUUUUGUACGGAACGAAACGGCUCUGGUUAAUACCCGGGGCUAAUGACGGUACCGUAAGAAUAAGCACCGGCUAACUACGUG
RNAcentral lists this ribosomal RNA (482 nucleotides) under uncultured bacterium. RNAcentral describes it as "partial 16S ribosomal RNA". It matches the Rfam family "Bacterial small subunit ribosomal RNA", at positions 30 to 507 of the family's 1533-position model. The record is from RNAcentral.